This 75-nucleotide transfer RNA is filed under the name Candidatus Uhrbacteria bacterium. RNAcentral describes it as "tRNA-Arg". It matches the Rfam family "tRNA". From Rfam's summary of the family: Transfer RNA (tRNA) molecules are approximately 80 nucleotides in length. Their secondary structure includes four short double-helical elements and three loops (D, anti-codon, and T loops). The record is from RNAcentral. Lineage: Bacteria; Candidatus Uhriibacteriota.
GCGCCCGUGGUUCAAUGGAUAGAAUGCCGGUCUUCGGAACCGGAGAUGGGAGUUCGAUUCUCUCCGGGCGUACCA